RNAcentral lists this ribosomal RNA (253 nucleotides) under uncultured bacterium. Its description in RNAcentral is "partial 16S ribosomal RNA". It matches the Rfam family "Bacterial small subunit ribosomal RNA", at positions 524 to 776 of the family's 1533-position model. The record is from RNAcentral.
UACGUAGGGCGCAAGCGUUGUCCGGAAUUAUUGGGCGUAAAGAGCUCGUAGGCGGCUUGUCACGUCGGGUGUGAAAGCCCGGGGCUUAACCCCGGUUCUGCAUUCGAUACGGGCUGGCUAGAGUGUGGUAGGGGAGAUCGGAAUUCCUGGUGUAGCGGUGAAAUGCGCAGAUAUCAGGAGGAACACCGGUGGCGAAGGCGGAUCUCUGGGCCAUUACUGACGCUGAGGAGCGAAAGCGUGGGGAGCGAACAGG